UACAGAGGUGGCAAGCGUUGUUCGGAAUUACUGGGCGUAAAGGGCACGUAGGCGGCCUUGUCAGUCAGACGUGAAAUCCCCAGGCUUAACCUGGGAACUGCGUCUGAUACUACAAGGCUGGAGUGCGGGAGAGGGAUGUGGAAUUCCAGGUGUAGCGGUGAAAUGCGUAGAUAUCUGGAGGAACACCGGUGGCGAAGGCGGCAUCCUGGACCGACACUGACGCUGAUGCGCGAAAGCUAGGGGAGCAAACGGG
This 253-nucleotide ribosomal RNA is filed under the name uncultured bacterium. RNAcentral's name for it is "partial 16S ribosomal RNA". It matches the Rfam family "Bacterial small subunit ribosomal RNA", at positions 524 to 776 of the family's 1533-position model. The record is from RNAcentral.